RNAcentral lists this transfer RNA (65 nucleotides) under Staurois latopalmatus (Sabah splash frog). RNAcentral's name for it is "tRNA-Cys". It matches the Rfam family "tRNA". From Rfam's summary of the family: Transfer RNA (tRNA) molecules are approximately 80 nucleotides in length. Lineage: Eukaryota; Metazoa; Chordata; Amphibia; Anura; Ranidae. The record is from RNAcentral.
AGUCCCGGGGUGUUAACACGUGGGGUUGCAAACCUCAAGAUGCAGGGUGAAACCUGCCGGGACUU